RNAcentral lists this ribosomal RNA (729 nucleotides) under Enterobacter cloacae. Its description in RNAcentral is "bacterial SSU rRNA". It matches the Rfam family "Bacterial small subunit ribosomal RNA", at positions 27 to 750 of the family's 1533-position model. Lineage: Bacteria; Pseudomonadati; Pseudomonadota; Gammaproteobacteria; Enterobacterales; Enterobacteriaceae. The record is from RNAcentral.
GAUAGAACGCUGGCGGCAGGCCUAACACAUGCAAGUCGAGCGGCAGCGGAAAGUAGCUUGCUACUUUGCCGGCGAGCGGCGGACGGGUGAGUAAUGUCUGGGAAACUGCCUGAUGGAGGGGGAUAACACUGGAAACGGUAGCUAAUACCGCAUAACGUCGCAAGACCAAAGAGGGGGACCUUCGGGCCUCUUGCCAUCAGAUGUGCCCAGAUGGGAUUAGCUAGUAGGUGGGGUAACGGCUCACCUAGGCGACGUCCCUAGCUGGUCUGAGAGGAUGACCAGCCACACUGGAACUGAGACACGGUCCAGACUCCUACGGGAGGCAGCAGUGGGGAAUAUUGCACAAUGGGCGCAAGCCUGAUGCAGCCAUGCCGCGUGUAUAAGAAGGCCUUCGGGUUGUAAAGUACUUUCAGCGGGGAGGAAGGCGUUGAGGUUAAUAACCUCAGCGAUUGACGUUACCCGCAGAAGAAGCACCGGCUAACUCCGUGCCAGCAGCCGCGGUAAUACGAGGGUGCAAGCGUUAAUCGGAAUUACUGGGCGUAAAGCGCACGCAGGCGGUCUGUCAAGUCGGAUGUGAAAUCCCCGGGCUCAACCUGGGAACUGCAUUCGAAACUGGCAGGCUAGAGUCUUGUAGAGGGGGUAGAAUUCCAGGUGUAGCGGUGAAAUGCGUAGAGAUCUGGAGGAAUACCGGUGGCGAAGGCGGCCCCCUGGACAAAGACUGACGUCAGU